This is an RNA transcript of Ricinus communis (castor bean), 1798 nucleotides long. It is a transcript of the gene named glucan endo-1,3-beta-glucosidase 14, with no coding region annotated. Lineage: Eukaryota; Viridiplantae; Streptophyta; Magnoliopsida; Malpighiales; Euphorbiaceae. The record is from RefSeq and is a predicted model, not a curated record. The transcript is spliced from 4 exons.
UGUAGGCUAGCAAAACACAACCCACGAACAUAAUAGCACAACCUUAUAAAUACAGAGAUUAUAUGUAAUUUGCAUUGGUGAUUGGUUAGUUGGCAAACGGUGCUUUUGGGUUCUGCUGCUGAGCGGUGGUGCUGCUGGUUGCUAGUGGUCUUGGUUUAACCGAGAUUGGAUCAGUUAUGGCCACCUUCUUUGUUCUUUUAAGACUCCUUUUCUUCUUUAUCUCUUCUUUUUCAGUUGCUCGAAUUCAAGGCCUUGGCGUUGGGAUCAACUAUGGGCAGAUUGCUAAUAAUCUUCCUUCUCCAUCUCGAGUUGCUUAUCUCCUUCAAUCUCUCAACAUUUCAAGGGUAAAACUCUAUGAUGCUGAUCCAAAUGUUCUAGUUGCUUUUUCCAAUUCAAAUGUUGAUUUCAUUGUUGGACUUGGAAAUGAGUACCUUCAGAACAUGACUGAUCCAAUUAAAGCUCAAACUUGGAUUCAACAGCACCUUCAACCUCACCUCCCUCAAACUAAAAUUACUUGCAUUACUGUAGGAAAUGAGGUCUUUAAUAGCAACGAUACUCAGUUAAGGUCUUAUCUCCUUCCAGCAAUGCAAACAGUUUAUCAUGCUCUUGUUAAUCUUGGUCUAGAUAAGCAAGUUAUUGUCACAAGUGCUCAUUCCCUUACCAUCUUAGCCUACUCCUAUCCUCCUUCGGCUGGAACUUUUAGACAAGAUCUUGCUGAAUACAUUCAACCCUUGUUGAACUUUCAUUCUCAAAUUAAUUCACCUUUUCUUAUCAAUGCAUAUCCAUUUUUCGCUUAUAAGGAUAACCCGAAUCAGGUGUCUAUAGAAUAUGCCCUUUUCCAGCCUAACCAAGGGAUGACAGAUCCAAUUACAAAUUUGAAAUAUGAUAACAUGUUGUAUGCUCAAAUUGAUGCUGUGUAUUCGGCAAUUAGAGCAAUGGGGCAUACAGAUAUUGAAGUAAGGAUUUCGGAGACAGGUUGGCCAUCUAAGGGGGAUUCUGAUGAAGCAGGAGCUACAUCAGAAAAUGCAGGCUUAUAUAAUGGAAAUUUGUUACAAAGAAUACAGGAGAAGCAAGGUACACCAGCAAAGCCAUCAGUCCCCAUUGAUGUAUAUGUUUUUGCACUUUUUAACGAGGAUUUAAAGCCUGGACCGACAUCAGAAAGGAAUUAUGGGCUCUUCUAUCCAGAUGGUACCCCAGUUUAUAACAUUGGAUUACAGGGUUAUCUUCCAGAAUUAACUUAUUCUUCGGCAUGCAAGAUAAAUGUUUUAUCUCUAUUCAGUCUGGUGAUCUUUGUUCUGGCAUGCGUAAUCUGUGCUUAGGAGCACCUGAAUUCAUUGGUAGAGAUUUUGUUAUGAUACAACGAAAAUCUUAAGAGAGCAUAUAAUUUCAAGAGGAGUGCUUUUAAGGCAGGCUAAAAUUGGCAGCAGGGGUUAUUCCAGCAGUUUGCAGAGAGCAUCUCUUUUACAAGUUUCUUUAUAUAAACCAAUAAAAUAUUGACAGUAUUGAUCACUAACAAAUCCUGGAUUGGUUAUUCAUCUAUAGGAGCCAAAGUAAUAUAGAAAGGUUUUAGGGAAUAUGGUGAAACUAAGUUUAGGCAGAUAGAUGUUAUAGGAAAAAGUAAAUGGAAAACAAAAACAAUUCUUUUACAGAUGUCUAAUAAGGAAAAGUUGGUCAAAUCUUUAGAAGGCUAAAGCUGAUUUUUUUGUUUCUUUCUUAUAUUUGUAUUUUAUGAACUCAUUAGAAUUUUGCAGUUAAUUGAGCAUUUUUAUUUAAUGGAAUUGAGGCUUUUUGUUAGGAA